CGCGUGCUCUGGUCCUCCUGGACCUUUCCUUCUGGGGAAACCCAUGGCCUUCACUGGCUGUGGGGGGAGACCAGGACUUUUACUGUGAAAAAAAUUAGAGUGUGCACAGCAGGCCUUUGCUCGGAUACAUUAGCACGGAAUAAUAGAAUAGGACGUGUGUUUCUAUUUUGUUGGUGUUUAGAACCCCCGUAUUGAUUUAUAGGGAUAGUCGGGGGGGUCAGUAUUUGGGUGUCAGAGGUGAGAUAUUUAGAUAUGCUGAAGACUAACUAUUGCGAAAGCGUUCUCCACGGAUGUGUUCUUUUAUCAGUGAACGAAAGUUAGGGGAUAGAAGACGAUCAGAGACCGUGGUAGUCUUAACCAUAAACUAUACCGAGUAGGGAUCGGACGGGCAACUUAUGAUAACCCCUUUGGCCCCCUACGAGAAAUCAAAGUUUUUGGGUUUUGGGGGGAGUAUGGUGGCAAGGGUGAAACUUAAAGAAAUUGACGGAAGGGCACCCCCCGGGGUGGAGCCCGCGGCUUAAUUUGACUCAACACGGGGAAACUCACCAGGUCCAGACAAAAUAAGGAUUGACAGAUUGAGAGCUCUUUCUUGAUCUUUUGGAUGGUGGUGCAUGGCCGUUCUUAGUUGGUGGAGUGAUUUGUCUGCUUAAUUGCGAUAACGAACGAGACCUUAACCUCCUAAAUAGUCCGCCCGACGUCUGUCGGUCGCUGGCUUCUUAGAGGGACUAUCGA
This 732-nucleotide ribosomal RNA is filed under the name uncultured eukaryote. Its description in RNAcentral is "partial 18S ribosomal RNA". It matches the Rfam family "Eukaryotic small subunit ribosomal RNA", at positions 670 to 1426 of the family's 1831-position model. The record is from RNAcentral.